GUAAUGGCAGGUCAGCAUACUGCCGUGAAUACGUUCCCGGGCCUUGUACACACCGCCCGUCACACCAUGAGAGUUGGGGAUACCCGAAGCCUGUGAGCUAACUAUUUAUAGGAGCAGCAGUCGAAGGUAGAAUCAAUGAUUGGGGUGAAGUCGUAACAAGGUACC
Molecule: ribosomal RNA, 165 nt
Filed under: uncultured bacterium
Lineage: Bacteria
Description: partial 16S ribosomal RNA
Rfam family: Bacterial small subunit ribosomal RNA
Source: RNAcentral